Molecule: ribosomal RNA, 43 nt
Filed under: Phytophthora sp. AG43
Lineage: Eukaryota; Oomycota; Peronosporomycetes; Peronosporales; Peronosporaceae
Description: partial 18S ribosomal RNA
Source: RNAcentral
AUCGUAACAAGGUUUCCGUAGGUGAACNGCGGAAGGAUCAUUA